AUUGAACGCUGGCGGCAUGCUUUACACAUGCAAGUCGAACGGUAACAGGUCUUCGGAUGCUGACGAGUGGCGAACGGGUGAGUAAUGCAUCGGAACGUGCCCAGUCGUGGGGGAUAACGUAGCGAAAGCUACGCUAAUACCGCAUACGAUCUAUGGAUGAAAGCGGGGGACCGUAAGGCCUCGCGCGAUUGGAGCGGCCGAUGUCAGAUUAGGUAGUUGGUGGGGUAAAGGCUCACCAAGCCAACGAUCUGUAGCUGGUCUGAGAGGACGACCAGCCACACUGGAACUGAGACACGGUCCAGACUCCUACGGGAGGCAGCAGUGGGGAAUUUUGGACAAUGGGCGCAAGCCUGAUCCAGCAAUGCCGCGUGCAGGAAGAAGGCCUC
RNAcentral lists this ribosomal RNA (386 nucleotides) under uncultured bacterium. RNAcentral describes it as "bacterial SSU rRNA". It matches the Rfam family "Bacterial small subunit ribosomal RNA", at positions 30 to 418 of the family's 1533-position model. The record is from RNAcentral.